AUUGAACGCUGGCGGCAGCCUAACACCUGCAAGUCGAGCGGAUGAAGGGAGCUUGCUCCUGGAUUCAGCGGCGGACGGGUGAGUAAUGCCUAGGAAUCUGCCUGGUAGUGGGGGAUAACGCCCGGAAACGGGCGCUAAUACCGCAUACGUCCUGAGGGAGAAAGUGGGGGAUCUUCGGACCUCACGCUAUCAGAUGAGCCUAGGUCGGAUUAGCUAGUUGGUGGGGUAAAGGCCUACCAAGGCGACGAUCCGUAACUGGUCUGAGAGGAUGAUCAGUCACACUGGAACUGAGACACGGUCCAGACUCCUACGGGAGGCAGCAGUGGGGAAUAUUGGACAAUGGGCGAAAGCCUGAUCCAGCCAUGCCGCGUGUGUGAAGAAGGUCUUCGGAUUGUAAAGCACUUUAAGUUGGGAGGAAGGGCAGUAAGUUAAUACCUUGCUGUUUUGACGUUACCAACAGAAUAAGCACCGGCUAACUUCGUG
RNAcentral lists this ribosomal RNA (483 nucleotides) under uncultured bacterium. RNAcentral describes it as "partial 16S ribosomal RNA". It matches the Rfam family "Bacterial small subunit ribosomal RNA", at positions 30 to 507 of the family's 1533-position model. The record is from RNAcentral.